GGGCGCGGCCGGCGGGGCGGAAGGGUGCGGGGUCGCGGAAGCGAGCUGGCGGCGGGAGGCGGCUCCCCGCGUUGCACCUGUCUGCGCCGCUGGGGCGAAUCGGCUGCCAGGGCCGCCCCUGCCGGAAGGAGUCCGGCAGGGUUCUUGAAGAGGAGGGAAAGGCGUCAGGGUCCACGCCUCCCCCGAGUUGUGUUUAGAAACUGAAGCCUGUGCAAGUCCGUCGGUACAGUCAAGAUGGGGAACUCUGGCAGAAAGAAUGUUCUGGCCUGUGUGGAAUAACUCUGUCUCUGCCAAAGGAUAAACCUAAAAUCUGCUUUCUUGGAAACCAGCUAAUGUCUUUAGGGAGCAUGACCUUAAGGAUUUGGACCUUCAAAUAAAAGGGAGUUUCAGUAACAGAUGGCAUGUUCCACCCCAGGAGUGACUGUAGGAGAAAUGAGAGGAAAGGGGACGGACAGAACCAGGUGGAGAUGUGGUGCUUCAGGAUAUAGUGGGGCAAACAGAGACCUUUGUCUAGGAGGUGAGUGGAAAGUAGACGUUGAGCUCAUCUCCAAGGAAACCAGGGCAGAAGAGCGCUGUGGCUGGACUCUGCUGAGUCCAGCACUGAGCACCGAGGCUGAGGAGUGCCAAGCAGCACCAGUCUGGAAACUGCAAGAUUCAAGAGCAAAAUGGCACAAUGUCACGUUUCCUGUUUGAAGGUGCUCAGCUCUUGCAAAGCCAUCUUUCUUUCCUCAACACCAUUCCCAGUUUGUGGCAAUUCUUUGAAUAAAUCCUCCAGUGCAAAAACAGUUUUACGCACCUACUGUCUACCAGUCACAUAUAUCCAUAUAUGAUUUCAUUUAGUGCUCACAGUGGUCCUACAAGGUUUUAUUAUUUUCAUUUCAUAGAUGGGUGUGCUGAGUCUCAGAAGAGUUAAGUAAUUUGCCCAUAGAGUUUGGAAGUAGGGGAGCCAGGUGUAUCUGUUGUUGCCAAAGCCCCCGUGGAUUCCACUCUAAAAAGCUACCUUUGAUGUGAAGUCAGAUCAAAUUAAAAUGAUGUCAAAAUGGUAAGACUUGUCAAGCCUUCCAAGAAGCAAUAAGGAGAGGACCAGGUAAGGAACAGUGAGCGGAGAUCUCUAAAUCUCUGAAUGUGGGUAUUUACAAAUCCUGAAAUCGUUGGCUUUGCUAGGCUUCCCUGCAGUCUGAGAUCCCAGUGCAGCCGUGGUACCCUCUAGUGGACAUUUCCCAGAUUCACACAGCUUCCCUGGCUCCAGUGCCCAAGAGCUGGGAGGGAAGCCUUCACCCAGACACUGGAGAGGGUCCCAAAGAACGGUCAUCUGGAAGAUACAAGUUUAUGUGUCAGAGUCCAUGGUGGGUAGAGAAGAAAUGCAGACUGGGGGUGGGGUGUGUGUGCUGAGCACUUGGUUCACGGGGCCCCAAGGGGAGUUCUUGUCAGUAUAUAAAUGUGCUCAGGGAGGGCAUUGUGUAUUAAUAGGAGCUCAAUACACAUCACAUGUGACUGUAGGCUUUUAGGGCUCUAGAGUGGAUUUUUUUAAUAGGGAAAAUUAGUGAUCAGAGAUAUGAAGUACCUUGUCUAAGGCCACAGGGUAAAUUGAUGUCAACAAUGGUAGGACUGGAAAUUUUGUCUCCUGCCUCCCAACCCAGAGGACUUCCCACUGCAUCACACUCCCUUAAUUGUGGGUUGAUUGAUUUUAGCCAUAAACUGGUGUUGCAUAUAAGGAUAUGAAGUUGUAGGUAAAAUUAGGGAAUUGUUUUUGCUUUUUUCUGCCCACAAUCUAUAUACUUUAUCCUUUCAUUCACCACAUUUAUAGAGUGCCUAGUAUUGCCAAAUACUACUCUAGGCAUUGUUUUCCAAGUUUGUGGAUCCUUUUAAAAGGGACUCCAGCACAUGAGACCAGGCUCUCAGGCUCCUGCCCCAUGCCUACAGCCCUCCAGGCACCCCUGGGCUGCCUUCCUCAAGUCCCCAGAGCUAAUAUGCCAGAUUUAUUUUGGUCUCCUUCCUCCUACAGAGGUAAUCCCUGGGAAUGGAAGUGGGUUAGAAACAGAUUACUCUGAUCCAGGGCCUUUUUCCUCCCCUCCCUGAAUGUGGUGCAAGGGGAGAGGGAAAUCACAAAUAGCCUGAAGUUCCCUUUCAGGAUUAUUGCUUGAUUUAGCCAGCAAGAAGAGGCUAGGGAUUAAUUCUAGACCUACCAUGAACAGUGGAAUGCAUGGGCUUCUUUUCUGGCUGAACCAGAUGAGCAAUAUCUCUUUCUAGACAUACCUUCUAAAACAAGGAGUCUGAGGCAGGCAGGAAAAGGUCUUUGUGUUUAGCAGCAGGGAUGAGUAGAAGGAUCAUGAGAAAAAAGAGCAGCUAGUAGAAGAAAGCUGUGCAGCAUGGAAUUAGGGAAUCACAUUGGAGCUUGGAAACAACCUGCAUUUGGGUGGUCUUAGCUUCAACAGAGGUGAGAACUGCUCCCUAGGGGAAGAAAGCUAACACACAGGGCUUCUUGAGGAUUUUCAGUUCAUAUCCAGGCUCUCUUGCUUUAGGGGCACUGCACUGGAGUGGACUUGGGGUGGGAUGUUAUUCUGUGUCCAGCACAAAGAGCAGUUACAUUUACCAGGACUCUUCUAGGCUCUGUAUGAUAGCUCUUCCAGGUCUAUCACAGGGCUUGGAAGCAGUAGCCAUAACUAACCAGUGUGGGAAAACUCAUUUAAUGAGUUAUUAACAAUUUUGUGAGUUAGGUAUUUAAUUACCCCUUCCUAUAGGUGAGGAAAAGAAGUGGCAUUAAUAUGUAACCUCAGGCAUUGUAGCAUUCUCAGCCAGUGUGUGGGAGCCAUAGAAAGUCAACUCCAGGAUGGGAAAAGCAACACCACUAACAUUGUGAGCUAAGGGUCAGUUGAGAACAUUUCUUAGAAAGUCAGAAUUCCUGGUUUCUUCUAUGUCACCUUAUCUUCGACAGUUUACAUUUGCUUUUCAUGCCUUCGCUCAAGGUGGGGAAGUACAAUGUAAAUACAUGGCAAGCCUAUUACUUGCCUCAAUCCAAGGAUUAUACUGUUUUUUGUAAUUGAUGAACAUAUUGCAAUCAGAUUCUUCCAAUUCUCCAGAAGGAUUUUCCUGGUUCAAAUCAACUGUACU
Molecule: non-coding RNA, 3111 nt
Organism: Manis javanica (Malayan pangolin)
Lineage: Eukaryota; Metazoa; Chordata; Mammalia; Pholidota; Manidae
Source: RefSeq, a predicted model, not a curated record